UCUACAUCGGCGAACCAAGUAUCCCUAACCAUCAACUCUUCAACAAUGCGAUUCAAAUCUCAAACGCCGAAACGAAAAAAAGGAGGGAACUCCAUAAUCUGCAAGGCGGCAAAACUUAACCACAAACACCUCUCUCUCUCUCCAAGAGUCAAGGACUACAGACGUUGCGCGGAAGUAUUAUCGGAAGAGGCAGUCGCUUCUAAUCUACCGUCUGCUUCCGAUUCAUCGCCGGGAGACCUCAGGCUGGAUUCCGUGCUGUCAAACGGUUUUUUUUGUUGAGAUUAGUUUGCGCAUGCGAAGUAGUAGUUCCAGAGAGUACAACUAUACAAACGCAGUUCCGUUGUCACAGGUUCUAGUGCAUGGAGCUUAGAUGAGAACAUCAUUCAAUAUCCAGACAUACCUCUCCAGAAGCAGUACUGGAUUCCCUCCGUGGACAGACCUGAUGAACAAAAACAAUACUAGGUAUUGUUAAACUUUCUGAAACCAAACCUCCAUGUCUAGUUAUUAAACUGUAUCUUCCUCUGUUACCUUUA
Long non-coding RNA from Salvia hispanica, 533 nucleotides. RefSeq lists it as uncharacterized. NCBI's taxonomy places the organism in Eukaryota, Viridiplantae, Streptophyta, Magnoliopsida, Lamiales, Lamiaceae. The record is from RefSeq and is a predicted model, not a curated record.